Molecule: ribosomal RNA, 415 nt
Filed under: uncultured bacterium
Lineage: Bacteria
Description: bacterial SSU rRNA
Rfam family: Bacterial small subunit ribosomal RNA
Source: RNAcentral
UAGGGAAUAUUGGGCAAUGGAGGGAACUCUGACCCAGCCAUGCCGCGUGCAGGAUGGAGGCGUUAUGCGUUGUAAACUGCUUUUAUAUAGGAAGAAAUAGUCCUUGCGAGGAAAGUUGACGGUACUAUAUGAAUAAGCACCGGCUAACUCCGUGCCAGCAGCCGCGGUAAUACGGAGGGUGCAAGCGUUGUCCGGAUUUAUUGGGUUUAAAGGGUGCGUAGGCGGUUUAUUAAGUCAGUGGUGAAAGACGGUCGCUCAACGAUUGCAGUGCCAUUGAUACUGGUAGACUUGAGUAUGAUUGAGGUAGCUGGAAUGGAUAGUGUAGCGGUGAAAUGCAUAGAUAUUAUCCGGAACACCAAUUGCGUAGGCAAGUUACUAAGUCAUAACUGACGCUGAGGCACGAAAGUGUGGGUAU